This 762-nucleotide ribosomal RNA is filed under the name uncultured bacterium. RNAcentral's name for it is "bacterial SSU rRNA". It matches the Rfam family "Bacterial small subunit ribosomal RNA", at positions 54 to 796 of the family's 1533-position model. The record is from RNAcentral.
CAUGCAAGUCCGCGNGAAGCCCCCUUCCGGGGUACUCGAGCGGCGAAGGGAGAGUACGCGUGGAUACCUACCCCUGGAUCCGGGAUAGCUGCGGGAANCUGGCAGGUAAUGCCGGAUUAUUGUCCCCGGACCCAAAGGUGUGAUUCCGUCCCAGGAGAGGGGUCCGCCGUCCUUAUUAGCCUUGUUGGUUGGGGUUAAUGCGCCUACCCAGGGCUCAGGAUGGGUACCGGGGUGUGAGAGCAUGCCCCGGCUCACUGGGACCUGAGACACCUGCCCCAGACACCCUACGGGGUGGGCUGGCAGUCGAGGAUAUCUUCGCGCAAUGGACGCCAUGUCUGACCCGAGGCGCCGCCCGCCGUGCGGGGAUGAAGGCUUUCCGGGUUGUAACCCGCUGUCAGGGGGGAAGGAAAUCUCUAGGGGCUACCCCCUCGAGUUGACCCUAUCNCUCAGAGGAAGGACGGGCUAAGUUCGUGCCAGCAGCCGCGGUAAUACGAACCGUCCAAACGUUAUUCGGAAUCACUGGGCUUAAAGGGUGCGUAGGCGGUGCGGUAAGUUGGGUGUGAAAUCCCUCGGCUCAACCGAGGAACUGCGCUCAAUACUGCCGUACUUGAGGGAGACAGAGGUAAGCGGAACUGAUGGUGGAGCGGUGAAAUGCGUUGAUAUCAUCAGGAACACCAGUAGCGAAGGCGGCUUACUGGGUCUCUUCUGACGCUGAGGCACGAAAGCUAGGGUAGCGAACGGGAUUAGAUACCCCGGUAGUCC